UACGUAGGGAGCGAGCGUUAUCCGGAUUUAUUGGGUGUAAAGGGUGCGUAGACGGGAAAUUAAGUUAGUUGUGAAAUCCCUCGGCUUAACUGAGGAACUGCAACUAAAACUGGUUUUCUUGAGUGUCGGAGAGGAAAGAGGAAUUCCUAGUGUAGCGGUGAAAUGCGUAGAUAUUAGGAGGAACACCGGUGGCGAAGGCGUCUUUCUGGACGAUAACUGACGUUGAGGCACGAAAGUGUGGGGAG
Molecule: ribosomal RNA, 245 nt
Filed under: uncultured Lachnospiraceae bacterium
Lineage: Bacteria; Bacillati; Bacillota; Clostridia; Lachnospirales; Lachnospiraceae
Description: partial 16S ribosomal RNA
Rfam family: Bacterial small subunit ribosomal RNA
Source: RNAcentral